ACCCGCUGAACUUAAGCAUAUCAAUAAGCGGAGGAAAAGAAACCAACAGGGAUUGCCCUAGUAACGGCGAGUGAAGCGGCAACAGCUCAAAUUUGAAAUCUGGCGUCUUUGGCGUCCGAGUUGCAAUUUGCAGAGGGCGCUUUGGCAUUGGCAGCGGUCCAAGUUCCUUGGAACAGGACGUCACAGAGGGUGAGAAUCCCGUACGUGGUCGCUAGCCUUUACCGUGUAAAGCCCCUUCGACGAGUCGAGUUGUUUGGGAAUGCAGCUCUAAAUGGGAGGUAAAUUUCUUCUAAAGCUAAAUACUGGCCAGAGACCGAUAGCGCACAAGUAGAGUGAUCGAAAGAUGAAAAGCACUUUGGAAAGAGAGUUAAAAAGCACGUGAAAUUGUUGAAAGGGAAGCGCUUGCAGCCAGACUUGCCUGUAGUUGCUCAUCCGGGUUUUUACCCGGUGCACUCUUCUAUAGGCAGGCCAGCAUCAGUUUGGGCGGUUGGAUAAAGGUCUCUGUCAUGUACCUCUCUUCGGGGAGAACUUAUAGGGGAGACGACAUGCAACCAGCCCGGACUGAGGUCCGCGCAUCUGCUAGGAUGCUGGCGUAAUGGCUGU
This 603-nucleotide ribosomal RNA is filed under the name uncultured fungus. RNAcentral describes it as "eukaryotic LSU rRNA". It matches the Rfam family "Eukaryotic large subunit ribosomal RNA", at positions 23 to 641 of the family's 3401-position model. Lineage: Eukaryota; Fungi. The record is from RNAcentral.